This 550-nucleotide ribosomal RNA is filed under the name uncultured bacterium. RNAcentral describes it as "bacterial SSU rRNA". It matches the Rfam family "Bacterial small subunit ribosomal RNA", at positions 355 to 896 of the family's 1533-position model. The record is from RNAcentral.
UGGGGAAUCUUGCGCAAUGGGCGAAAGCCUGACGCAGCGACGCCGCGUGAGUGAUGAAGGCCUUCGGGUUGUAAAGCUCUGUGGGGGGAGACGAAUAAGCGGGGGCCAAUACCCUUCGCGAUGACGGUACCUCCUUAGCAAGCACCGGCUAACUCUGUGCCAGCAGCCGCGGUAAGACAGAGGGUGCAAACGUUGUUCGGAAUUACUGGGCGUAAAGCGUGUGUAGGCGGCCGCGCAAGUCGGAUGUGAAAGCCCCGGGCUCAACCCGGGAAGCGCGCUCGAUACUGCGAGGCUCGAGUGUCGGAGAGGUUGGUGGAAUUCUCGGUGUAGAGGUGAAAUUCGUAGAUAUCGAGAGGAACACCGGCGGCGAAGGCGGCCAACUGGACGAACACUGACGCUGAGACACGAAAGCGUGGGGAGCAAACAGGAUUAGAUACCCUGGUGGUCCACGCCGUAAACGAUGGGUGCUAGGUGUCACGGGCAUUGACUCCUGUGGUGCCGAAGCCAACGCAUUAAGCACCCCGCCUGGGAAGUACGGCCGGCAAGGCUA